RNAcentral lists this long non-coding RNA (421 nucleotides) under Pan troglodytes (chimpanzee). RNAcentral describes it as "long non-coding RNA NONPTRT011429". The record is from RNAcentral. Lineage: Eukaryota; Metazoa; Chordata; Mammalia; Primates; Hominidae.
GAAAGCUUGGAUCGAAUGAAAAGGCAGAGGAAAGGUGAAUUUUCUUUUUAUCCUGGAGCUGGACACCCUGUUUCUCCUGCCUGUGGACAUCAGAAUUCUAGGCUCUGUGGCAUUUCAACUGUAAAACUUGCACUAGUAGCCAGCUGGUUUCUCAAGUCAUUGGCUUCAAAACUGAGAAGUACAGCAUUCUCUUCCCAGGUUCUGAAGACCUCAAAUGGACUGAGCCACACUACCAGCAUCCAGCAUCCAUGGUUCUCCAGUCUGCAGAUGGCCUAUUAUGGGACUUUUCAGUCUUCAUAAUUAUAUGAGAGAAAGAAAAUGAAAAGGAUUUGUAAACUAUAAAUCUCUAAACAGAUGGGAGGAAAGGAAUUGAUGAAACAAUAAAUUUAUUGAUGAAACAAUAAAAAUAAACAUAAAGAAC